Molecule: transfer RNA, 64 nt
Filed under: Candidiopotamon okinawense
Lineage: Eukaryota; Metazoa; Arthropoda; Malacostraca; Decapoda; Potamidae
Description: tRNA-Arg
Source: RNAcentral
UUAGAAAGCGAAUAUUUGCAUUUAGUUUCGGCCUAAACUCUGGGUUUCCCUUUAAUUUUAAUUA